CAAAUUAAAGCUUAUUUAGAAAAGCAUUUUAUUUACAUUAAAAAGUUAUUGUGCAAAUCAAUGUAAUUUGA
This 71-nucleotide transfer RNA is filed under the name Hydrocolus stagnalis. RNAcentral describes it as "tRNA-Val". The record is from RNAcentral. Lineage: Eukaryota; Metazoa; Arthropoda; Insecta; Coleoptera; Dytiscidae.